GUUACUGCUAUCGAGGUUCGACUAAGCCAUGCGAGUCGAAUGUAGCAAUACAUGGCGAACUGCUCAGUAACACGUGGACAACCUGCCCUUAGGUUGGGUAUAAACCCGGGAAACUGGGUAUAAUACCCGAUAGGUCUCGAUUGCUGGAAUGCAUCGAGAUUUAAAGCUCCGGCGCCUAAGGAUGGGUCUGCGGCCUAUCAGGUAGUAGUGGGUGUAGCGUACCUACUAGCCUACGACGGGUACGGGUUGUGAGAGCAAGAGCCCGGAGAUGGAUUCUGAGACACGAAUCCAGGCCCUACGGGGUGCAGCAGGCGCGAAAACUUUACAAUGCUGGCAACAGCGAUAAGGGAACCUCGAGCGCCAGGUUACAAAUCUGACUGUCGAGAUGCCUAAAAAGCAUUUCAUAGCAAGGGCCGGGCAAGACCGGUGCCAGCCGCCGCGGUAACACCGGCGGCUCGAGUGGUAACCGUUAUUAUUGGGUCUAAAGGGUCUGUAGCCGGCCGGAUAAGUCUCUUGAGAAAUCUGGCAGCUUAACUGUCAGGCUUUCAGGAGAUACUGUCUGGCUCGAGGCCGGGAGAGGUGAGAGGUACUUCAGGGGUAGGGGUGAAAUCUUGUAAUCCUUGAAGGACCACCAGUGGCGAAGGCGUCUCACCAGAACGGACCUGACGGCAAGGGACGAAAGCUAGGGGCACGAACCGGAUUAGAUACCCGGGUAGUCCUAGCCGUAAACGAUACUCGCUAGGUGUCGGCCACGGUGCGACCGUUGUCGGUGCCGUAGGGAAGCCGUGAAGCGAGCCACCUGGGGAAGUACGGCCGCAAGGCUGAAACUUAAAGGAAUUGGCGGGGGGAGCACCACAACCGGGUGGAGCUUGCGGUUUAAUUGGAUUCAACGCCCGGAAAUCUUACCGGGACCGACAGCAAUAUGAAGGCCAGGCUGAAGACUUUGCCGGAUUAGCUGAGAGGUGGUGCAUGGCCGUCGUCAGUUCGUACUGUGAAGCAUCCUGUUAAGUCAGG
RNAcentral lists this ribosomal RNA (1014 nucleotides) under uncultured archaeon. RNAcentral's name for it is "bacterial SSU rRNA". It matches the Rfam family "Archaeal small subunit ribosomal RNA", at positions 23 to 1038 of the family's 1478-position model. The record is from RNAcentral.